Molecule: long non-coding RNA, 336 nt
Filed under: Helianthus annuus (common sunflower)
Lineage: Eukaryota; Viridiplantae; Streptophyta; Magnoliopsida; Asterales; Asteraceae
Description: hypothetical non coding rna
Source: RNAcentral
AUGUCAAAGUACCCGUCCGAUGGACAGGUAUCAUUUGUGAUCAAAUCUUGAAUCUCUCAUAAACAUUUACAUAUUGUGAAUCUGUGAUACAUACAUGGCCACAUUGUUUAACGAAAAAUUAACCCAUCAAGGAAAAAUGGAAAAAGCCUAACAAGUGGGUCUGAGUCAGAACAAAUGCAAACAUCAAGAUUUAUCAGACAGGGAUAACUGUUUUAGACAUAAGGGUGUAAGAUGGGGGACUCACCUAUUAGGUGAGCACCCCUUACACCCUAAGAUCUCAUCAUACACAACCCACAUAACAGAAAUAAUUAAAACUUAUAAAAGAUGAAAACUGUA